Long non-coding RNA from Bufo bufo (common toad), 401 nucleotides. RefSeq lists it as uncharacterized. The record is from RefSeq and is a predicted model, not a curated record. Lineage: Eukaryota; Metazoa; Chordata; Amphibia; Anura; Bufonidae. The transcript has 3 exons.
GCAGAUCGUUUAAUGCGCAUGCGCCGGCCCAUACCUCCCGAUCUUGCGGCAGUUUACUUCCGCCGGCUAGAUCGGGUGGUAUGGGCCGGCGCAUGCGCAUUAAACACUCUGCUGCCUCUGCCCAUAGUGGGUAAUGGAGUGCGCAGGCGCAAGGAUUAUGUUGAACGGCACAGGUGCCGGAUUUGUCAAUGACGGGAGGAUGGAAUCUGAAGAACCUAGGGCGGGCCAGAGGGGUGAAAGGGGAGGGGUUUGAUUUGAACAGCGCCGUGGGGCAUGGGCACCGGCCGCAUAAACGCCGCCCCCGGGCACCUUCAGAAGCUAAUUAGCAUAUGGAAUAAAAGCGUUUUUAAGAGAAAAUAGGCGAUGGACAGCAAUAUGAAAGAGAAAAAUGUUUCAGGAAG